GACGAACGCUGGCGGCGUGCUUAACACAUGCAAGUCGAGCGGUAAGGCCCUUUCGGGGGUACGACGAGCGGCGAACGGGUGAGUAACACGUGGGUGACCUGCCCUCAGCUCUGGGAUAAGCCUGGGAAACCGGGUCUAAUACUGGAUAUGACUCCAUGACGCAUGUUGUGGGGUGAAAGCCUUGUGCGGCUGAGGAUGGGCCCGCGGCCUAUCAGCUUGUUGGUGGGGUGANGGCCUACCAAGGCGGCGACGGGUAGCCGGCCUGAGAGGGCGACCGGCCACACUGGGACUGAGACACGGCCCAGACUCCUACGGGAGGCAGCAGUGGGGAAUCUUGCGCAAUGGGCGAAAGCCUGACGCAGCGACGCCGCGUGAGGGAUGAC
RNAcentral lists this ribosomal RNA (383 nucleotides) under uncultured bacterium. RNAcentral describes it as "bacterial SSU rRNA". It matches the Rfam family "Bacterial small subunit ribosomal RNA", at positions 28 to 412 of the family's 1533-position model. The record is from RNAcentral.